GCAGAAGGAGGAAGGACAGCACAGCUGACAGCCGUGCUCAGGAAGUUUCUGGAUCCUAGGCUCAUCUCCACAGAGGAGAACACACAGGCAGCAGAGACCAUGGGGCCCCUCUCAGCCCCUCCCUGCACACAGCACAUCAAAUGGAAGGGGCUCCUGCUCACAGCUACUCAGGAGGCUGUGGCAGGAGAAUCACGUGAACCCAGGAGGCAGAAGUUGCAGCGUGCCGAGAUAGUGCCACUGCAUGCCAGCCUGGGCGACAGUACGAGACUCCGUCUCAAAAAAAAAAGAAAAAAGAGAAAAAAGAAAUAAAAGGAAAGAAGGGUCUGUUGGAGCCUGGAUAGGGGAAAAUACACCAGAGAGGGACAGGGGUCAAAACAGGAAAGUCACAUUGAACUGGAAUUGGUAAGAGGUAGGAAAAUCUUAAGUGUUCUGUUUUCCUGAUUAAUCAUCAGGGGCCACCACAUUUUGAAAAAUGAUAAUAACUAUAUCAGAUGACACUUCAAAUAAAAAUAUAAGCAGGACAUGAAACACUGUCCUCAGCAAAAAACCUCAACAAUUGGGGGAGAAAAAACAACACCAAGGGUGUGCAGGGCCCUGAGAACUCUCACAUCUACAGGAGUCUGCA
This 625-nucleotide small RNA is filed under the name Pan troglodytes (chimpanzee). Its description in RNAcentral is "processed transcript". Lineage: Eukaryota; Metazoa; Chordata; Mammalia; Primates; Hominidae. The record is from RNAcentral.